GAUGAAGAACGCAGCGAAAUGCGAUAAGUAAUGUGAGUUGCAGAAUUCAGUGAAUCAUCGAAUCUUUGAACGCACAUUGCGCCCCCUGGUAUUCCGGGGGGCAUGCCUGUCCGAGCGUCAUUACAACCCUCAAGCUCAGCUUGGUGUUGGGCCCCGCCGCCCCGGCGGGCCCUAAAGUCAGUGGCGGUGCCGUCCGGCUCCGAGCGUAGUAAUUCUUCUCGCUCUGGAGGUCCGGUCGUGUGCUCGCCAGCAACCCCCAAUUUUUUUUCAGGUUGACCUCGGAUCAGGUAGGGAUACCCGCUGAACUUAAGCAUAUCAAUAAGCGGAGGA
Molecule: unclassified non-coding RNA, 330 nt
Filed under: soil metagenome
Description: partial contains 5.8S ribosomal RNA, internal transcribed spacer 2, and large subunit ribosomal RNA
Rfam family: 5.8S ribosomal RNA (bases 1-120)
Source: RNAcentral